ACCGGGGCACGAACCCGUGUCCCCUGCAUCGGCAGGCGGACUCAACCACUGCGCCACCAGGGAAGCCUCCACAAUGAUAUUUUUAAAAGAAAGCCUCUAUUUGUUUAAUCCACUCAUAGUCAGGUGUUCUGAUUUUGUAAUCAAAAGUAUUCUUGUGGAUAAAGGCAGGGCUUGCAGGUGAGACAUAGCCGGACCUUGGAGAGGGCAGUACAGGCUCUUGCUCUGAUAUUAAACCUCCAGUAUGCAAGUCUGGCUCUAACACGUACUGAACUUGGACAAAUCACUUAACUUCUAAGCCUCAGUUUCCUUAUCUUUAAGAUGAGGUUAAUAGGAAUUACCGUCUCAUAGAACUGUGAGGAUUACGUCAAAUAAAGGAUGUACGAUGCCUAGGACGGGAAAAGAAUCGGCAGUCUUCUGUGACCUGAGUUGGAGGAGAAAUUUUCAGGCGGUAAGCCGAAGAAUUUCUAAAUUUCUUGCUUUUGGUGAGCCUCCUUCCAAUUUUACUGACGCAAAAAUUUGAGUAACAAGAGGCAUGCCAGCUGUUCGGUGAUGGUGCAGAGUUCUGCUUCUUCCAGCAGAGGCCCCUUGUGCACAGGAAAUGAGGCUGGUGGUGGCUGGAGGGGACCCUGGGCCAGGGCACUGGUUUCCCAGAAGCUCCCCCAGAGUAAAGCAGGGAGGGGAGUCUAAGGAAGAGCUUGUGGGGACCGCCCCCCACCCUCCACCCCCGUCCCCUGUCCAGGCUUCAGAGAGCUGGAUGCCAGUGUCCUGGAAUUCUGGAGUCUUUCUUGAAAGAAAGAGACGGGGAGAGAGAAGGAGAGAAAGAAAGAGGGAUGGAUAGAGGGAGAAAGCGGGGAGGAGGGAGAGAGGGAGGAAGGAAGGCAGCGGCUUUGUCUAAGCUCCAGGGCUCAGAGGCAGGGCACCCGUGGGGCUGAUGAUCCCAGGGGUCAGACCUGCAGAGAGACUCUUUCUGCUGUCUGCCUUCCAGUUUAUUUCGUUUCCCUUCAUUGUUGCUACCUGGGCAAAAGGGCAUCUAAAUGAUUUUUAAUCCCAAUUUAACUGCUACGGAGCUAUGAAAACUUGGCACAAAGCCUCCAGCAUAGCUGAUUGAUAGAGGAGAAGUCAGAUGAUCUCUUAAAAGCCACGGUGACGAGCGAGAAGGACUGAAACCGUGAGUUACUGAAACCGUGAGUUACAGCAUGGUUUGCAGAAAGGCCCAAACUUCUGGUGAUGGGGGGAGCGAUGGAGGGUCUUUCCUGGUCCAGCAUGGCCUCUUCUGUCUAAGGCGGUGGCCCUGUGGGUGACUCGCUGGCCAUACAUUCUUUCUUGAAGCUUUAAACCUGGAGUCUCUUUGCCUUCCAGAACUAAAACGAACGGUCUCUGGUGCAUUUGCUGUGUGCAUAUGUUGAUCAUCAUUCAAGACGUGCUUUUGGUGAGGGAGGAAAGCAGUCGGGGCCAGAUGGUGACUCUGACCUUCCCAGAUCAACACUGGGAAGGAGAAGACGGCUAAGGGCUGCUUUGGCAUCAGGCUGACUUGCCCAGUCGUCCAUGAGCACAUAAAUACUUCCUGAGCAUGUAUGGCCCCGUCUGUGGGAGAGGUAAAGUCACCCCUGGUGCUGGGGCCCAGGCGGCGAUGGAAGGGGUGCAGGGGGUGGUACUUAGGAAGGAGACGGGAAUGUGUCUUUUGGGCGGCCCUGCUCGGGUGGUGGUACCUGCCUGUGGAGCUGCGGGGGGUCUUCACAGGGAUGUGACUGCUGAUCCUUUGGGCUCUCUGGGCCAGGCUAUGAGACAGGAUUCCGCGUUAACACGGUGCCCCUUGGGGAGCAUUUCGGAUGCCCUGGCUUGAAUUUUGGUGGGAUGGAAGGGACACAAGGAAAUGGGCAGAACCAGGCAGGGUGUGGAGAUGAAGCUUCUGAGGGCUCCAGAGCCAAAGAAGGAGAGU
This is a long non-coding RNA of Aethalodelphis obliquidens (Pacific white-sided dolphin), 1939 nucleotides long. RefSeq lists it as uncharacterized. The transcript has 2 exons. The record is from RefSeq and is a predicted model, not a curated record. Lineage: Eukaryota; Metazoa; Chordata; Mammalia; Artiodactyla; Delphinidae.